RNAcentral lists this ribosomal RNA (261 nucleotides) under uncultured Lactobacillus sp. Its description in RNAcentral is "partial 16S ribosomal RNA". It matches the Rfam family "Bacterial small subunit ribosomal RNA", at positions 85 to 339 of the family's 1533-position model. Lineage: Bacteria; Bacillati; Bacillota; Bacilli; Lactobacillales; Lactobacillaceae. The record is from RNAcentral.
UUGGACGCUAGCGGCGGAUGGGUGAGUAACACGUGGGCAAUCUGCCCUAAAGACUGGGAUACCACUUGGAAACAGGUGCUAAUACCGGAUAACAACAUGGAUCGCAUGAUUCAAGUUUGAAAGGCGGCGCAAGCUGUCACUUUAGGAUGAGCCCGCGGCGCAUUAGCUAGUUGGUGGGGUAAAGGCCUACCAAGGCAAUGAUGCGUAGCCGAGUUGAGAGACUGAUCGGCCACAUUGGGACUGAGACACGGCCCAGACUCC